GUAGGUGGCAAGCGUUGUCCGGAAUUAUUGGGCGUAAAGCGCGCGCAGGCGGUUCUUUAAGUCUGAUGUGAAAGCCCACGGCUCAACCGUGGAGGGUCAUUGGAAACUGGAGAACUUGAGUACAGAAGAGGAAAGCGGAAUUCCACGUGUAGCGGUGAAAUGCGUAGAGAUGUGGAGGAACACCAGUGGCGAAGGCGGCUUUCUGGUCUGUAACUGACGCUGAGGCGCGAAAGCGUGGGGAGCAAACAGGGAUUAGAUACCCUGGUAGUCCACGCCGUAAACGAUGAGUGCUAAGUGUUAGGGGGGGUUUCCGCCCCCGUUAGUGCUGCAGCUAACGCAUUAAGCACUCCGCCUGGGGAGUACGGCCGCAAGGCUG
RNAcentral lists this ribosomal RNA (376 nucleotides) under uncultured organism. Its description in RNAcentral is "partial 16S ribosomal RNA". It matches the Rfam family "Bacterial small subunit ribosomal RNA", at positions 527 to 896 of the family's 1533-position model. The record is from RNAcentral.